RNAcentral lists this ribosomal RNA (361 nucleotides) under Hypnea indica. RNAcentral's name for it is "partial 23S ribosomal RNA". It matches the Rfam family "Bacterial large subunit ribosomal RNA", at positions 2127 to 2485 of the family's 2925-position model. Lineage: Eukaryota; Rhodophyta; Florideophyceae; Gigartinales; Hypneaceae. The record is from RNAcentral.
GUAUGCUUUGCGCAGUAUAGGUGGGAGGCAAAGAUUAUAUAUUUGUGGAUAUAUAGGAGCCAAUAGUGAGAUACCACUCUAAGUAUACUAGGAUUCUAACUUUGAAAGCCGUUAACCGGCCAAAGAACAGUUUCAGGUGGGCAGUUUGACUGGGGCGGUCGCCUCCUAAAAAGUAACGGAGGCGUACAAAGGUUUCUUCAGACUGGUCGGAAAUCAGUCUUAGAGUAUAAAGGCAUAAAGAAGCUUGACUGCAAGACCUACAAGUCGAGCAGAGACGAAAGUCGGUCUUAGUGAUCCGACAGUUCUGAGUGGAAAGGCUGUCGCUCAACGGAUAAAAGUUACUCUAGGGAUAACAGGCUGA